CCACCAGCGUGCGUCAUUAUUAAGGAUGGUGGUUUGACCAAUUAACUUCAGUUGACAAUAUGCUAUACUUCUCUGUUGUACAAUGUGUGGAAAUACCAGGACGGGGAGUGACGAGGGGUUAGUAUACCAUCCACUCAUAUAAAAUAAGUAGCAAUGUAUAGCUUGCAGGAUUCGCAUUUGUCGAAAAUCACGUUUCAGCCGAAAGGGCAAUAAUCAAUUAAUUAUGUCACUUUGGCUACAUUAUUGGCAAGUGUAAGUACUGCAUGGUUACAUCACUAUAUAUGAGUAUCAGAUCUGUGUAUAAUUAUAUCAAUCCCAUCCAUAUUACACACUAGUAGUUUGAAUAUAAAAUAUACAUGUAAUAAUUAUACUCAACUUGUCAUGAGUUCAUGUCACUGGUUCUUCUGUCCCUCAUGCAGACACCAUCCAAACAAUGUCAGGUAUAUGUGCAUGGGCGGCUUCCCUGCUACGGUGAGCAAAUGAGACAUUAGGGAAGGCCCUCCAUUGUUUUGUAGCAACUAGCGUGAGUCAUUACUAAGGAUGGUGGUUCGACCAAUUAACUUAAUAAUGUGCUAUACUUUUCUGUUGUACUGUGUAAAGAAAUGCCAGGACGACAGGGAGUGACAAGAGGAUACGCCUUCGUCACAUUUGUUGACAAAUAUCAGCCGAAAGGGCAAUAGCAGCCACGGACAAAACGAAAACUUGGCCUGUUAGACGGACAAUCUGAGUUUCCGUUGAAAAUGAAGAUAACGGGGGCUUAACGGAGUUAAACGGUGUGUCUGAUAGGACGGCACCCGUGAGUAACACCGUUUCAUCAACACCAAUCUAACGGUUUCCGUUGGUAUGAACCGUCCAAUCUAGAUGUGUGAAACGGGAAGGAACGGAUGUGCCGUAUAGUAUUAGCUAGCUAGAUCUACUUCUUGAUAUGAUUAUUGUGUUCGUAGUGUGCAUUAAUUUUCUGAAGAGUUUAGUUUUUAAUGGACAAAAUGUAAGA
Long non-coding RNA from Halichondria panicea, 994 nucleotides. RefSeq lists it as uncharacterized. The transcript has 3 exons. The record is from RefSeq and is a predicted model, not a curated record. Lineage: Eukaryota; Metazoa; Porifera; Demospongiae; Suberitida; Halichondriidae.